This 433-nucleotide ribosomal RNA is filed under the name uncultured bacterium. Its description in RNAcentral is "partial 16S ribosomal RNA". It matches the Rfam family "Bacterial small subunit ribosomal RNA", at positions 29 to 507 of the family's 1533-position model. The record is from RNAcentral.
AACGAACGCUGGCGGCAUGCCUAACACAUGCAAGUCGAACGAGACCUUCGGGUCUAGUGGCGCACGGGUGCGUAACGCGUUGGAACCUGCCUUUAGGUUCGGAAUAACUCCCCGAAAGGGGUGCUAAUACCGGAUAUUGUCUUCGGACCAAAGAUUUAUCGCCUUUGGAUGGGCUCGCGUUGGAUUAGCUAGUUGGUAGGGUAAAAGCCUACCAAGGCGAGGAUCCAUAGCUGGUAUGAGAGGAUGAGUAGCCACACUGGGACUGAGACACGGCCCAGAAUCCUACGGAAUGGAGCAGAGGGGGAUAUUGGACAAUGGGCGAAAGCCUGAUCCAGCAAUGCCGCGUGAGUGAUGAAGGCCUUAGGGUUGUAAAGCUCUUUUACCCGGGAUGAUAAUGACAGUAUCGGGAGAAUAAGCUCCGGCUAACUCCGUG